GGCAGUGUAAGUAGCGUGUUUGCGUCGCCUGUGCCUUGGGUGAAAGAAACAAUAUAUGGCCGAUCGUCGGUGUGGUGGGGCUGCCAGGCGAGUGGGCGGAUUGACGCUGGUCUACCCUCACCCUCCUUCUAUGCACCCAGCUGGGUCUCUUCCUCUUCAGAAGCGUUGGGCCCACUUGUUAGCCUCUUUGGGUGGGUGUGGCACGAGGUGAGAGCUUGCGAGGUGGCCUGGUCCAUGAUUGGUGGUGUGGACGCCGGGUGGGAUACUGGGAUGCGAGCAGUAAAACCUAGCUACCAAUCCGCUCACGUCCUCGAGCCCCACGCAACUCCACUUUCUCUUCGUUUCUCUCCUCCUCGAUCUCCAGCGCAUGGCCGCCGCCGCUCAUCCUUCUCCUCUUCUCUCCCGUGCCACCAGGUUACUGGCCCCUCCACCUCGCCUUCCUUCUCUUCGUUGUCCGGUGGCCGUCGGCGGCGCCUGGAUCUGGAUCGGGUGCAGGUUAGUGAGGCCGGUGGUUGGGUGAAUCCGGGCGCGGAUCCGGUCGCUAGGCAGCAUGGGGCUGCGGAUCCGACGAGGUCACGGCGGCGGCCGCGGGUUCUCGUGGUGCUCUGCGAGAGAGAGAGAAGUGAGAGAGAGCCAUGGGAGGAGACGGAACAGAGAGGAGGGAGGGAUGCGGCAGGGCGGCGGUUGCUCCGGCCAUUAUUGUUGGCCGUGGGGAGGCGUGCUGAACCUGCUCGACCCAGUAGCGGCAGGUGCAGAGGCGCGUGCGAGGAGCGCAGUCGGUCGCCCGUCGUUCUUUCUUCGUCAAGAAGGGUGCAGCCUGCUACUCAACCCCUCUCCUUCGCUCCUUGCAGAGCAGGAGAGGCACGGGCGCCACCACACUGGAGAGAUGGACGAGGACAUGUUACAAAUUUGAAGGCAAAUAGAACAGCUACUCCACUGGCUAAAUAUUUUGCCUGCUUGGCAAAGUGUAAAAAGACAAUAGCUGCUCGGCAAAGUAUAAAAAGGCAAAGAGCUGAGAAAGAAGAGAAGAAGAGGAAUCUAGCAGAGGAAUGUGAAUAUUCUCUCUUGUGGAACACAAUAAGGUUUGUUCCUGCCAGCAAGCAAUACUGACCUCAUGCUUCUACUUACUGUUGCCUUGGUUAUAUUCAUCUAUACAGGGAAUUUCAACAUUUCAUGUACGUAAGCAUUUCUUUUGUUACAAAUUGUAUGCGCUCGACAAGGUGCAAAAAUGCAAAAAAGGUCAUUUAUAUAGCUAUUUUGAAUGUAAGGGCUGGAUCAUCUCUUGCAAUAAUUGUGAAAAAUUUGAGCGAUCCUUGGUCAUGUAUAUGAAUCUUGGCGGAUAAAAGUAGAUACAGCUGAUGUACACAUGACUUCGUGAGCGUCUGUCGAGGUUCUUAGAGAGAAAAAAAGCGUCUUUGAGACGCUUGAUCGUUCAUGCCAUGGUUGGAUGAGAAUGGAGAACUAUAAUGCAAAUGGAGGACUGUCCAUACAAAUUUUGUUUUAUUGGUCAGACUAUUUGUUCAUUUGGCUAUCUUAAUGCAUGAAGAUUUGGGAGGCAGGGAGGGAAUGCUCAAGUGGAAACAAAGUAAGGACCAAGCAGCUCAAGAUUUUACUACUACCUUCCUAAUAGCUUUGUGAGAAUCAGACAAUGCAUGGUGUGGGUCGAGAUGAUGUCCAGUCGCCUCCCUCAUCACCUAGACAACGCUACGGAGGGCUCAAAGGUUGAACCUGAAUGUGCUUCUUCCUAUCUCUGGUAGUUG
Triticum aestivum (bread wheat) is the source of this 1760-nucleotide RNA transcript. RefSeq lists it as uncharacterized. The transcript has 7 exons. Lineage: Eukaryota; Viridiplantae; Streptophyta; Magnoliopsida; Poales; Poaceae. The record is from RefSeq and is a predicted model, not a curated record.